RNAcentral lists this ribosomal RNA (503 nucleotides) under uncultured bacterium. RNAcentral describes it as "partial 16S ribosomal RNA". It matches the Rfam family "Bacterial small subunit ribosomal RNA", at positions 30 to 523 of the family's 1533-position model. The record is from RNAcentral.
AUUGAACGCUGGCGGCAGGCUUAACACAUGCAAGUCGAGCGGGGUGAUGGUGCUUGCACUAUCACUUAGCGGCGGACGGGUGAGUAAUGCUUAGGAAUCUGCCUAUUAGUGGGGGACAACAUCUCGAAAGGGAUGCUAAUACCGCAUACGUCCUACGGGAGAAAGCAGGGGAUCACUUGUGACCUUGCGCUAAUAGAUGAGCCUAAGUCGGAUGAGCUAGUUGGUGGGGUAAAGGCCUACCAAGGCGACGAUCUGUAGCGGGUCUGAGAGGAUGAUCCCCCACACUGGGACUGAGACACGGCCCAGACUCCUACGGGGGGCAGCAGUGGGGAGUAUUGGGCAAUGGGGGGAGCCCUGAUCCAGCCAUGCCGCGUGUGUGAAGAAGGCGUUAUGGUUGUAAAGCACUUUAAGCGAGGAGGAGGCUCUUUUGGUUAAUACCCAGAAUGAGUGGACGUUACUCGCAGAAUAAGCACCGGCUAACUCUGUGCCAGCCGCCGCCGUAA